AGUUGGGAGAGGGAUAGAGAUCGAGGGAGGGAUUAUGAUCAUGACAGACAUCGUCACAGAGGUAGAAAUAAUGACUGGUCUAGAGACCGUGAUCGGUCUCGAGAACAUGAUCUGGACAAGGAAAGAGGAUAUGGGCAUUCACAAGAUCGUGAUCUGCCAAAGGAUAAAUUGUUGGAUAGGGAUCCGGAGUUGGAAAAAACGUCUAAGGAUAAUGAGAAGGUACAUGACUCGAAGUUGAACCACGAUCAAGAUUGGGAAAAAGACCAUGGUGAAGAUUGGAGUGGAGGUGGAGGCAUUGAUAACAUUGAUGAUUAUGAUAAAAGCCUUGAAACUGAUAGAGAUCAACUCUCAAGGAGAGAUAACGGUCUUACAAUUGAAGGUCGAACUGCUCGGGAUCUUUCAUCUGAUUCCAGUGAUGAUUAUAUCCAUGAAUUAAGGGAACAACUGGG
This 449-nucleotide unclassified non-coding RNA is filed under the name Hevea brasiliensis (rubber tree). Lineage: Eukaryota; Viridiplantae; Streptophyta; Magnoliopsida; Malpighiales; Euphorbiaceae. The record is from RNAcentral.